RNAcentral lists this ribosomal RNA (253 nucleotides) under uncultured bacterium. RNAcentral describes it as "partial 16S ribosomal RNA". It matches the Rfam family "Bacterial small subunit ribosomal RNA", at positions 524 to 776 of the family's 1533-position model. The record is from RNAcentral.
GACAGAGGGUGCAAACGUUGUUCGGAAUUACUGGGCGUAAAGCGCGUGUAGGCUGCUUGGCAAGUCGGAUGUGAAAGCCCUGGGCUCAACCCAGGAAGUGCAUUCGAAACUGCUGAGCUGGAGUCCUGGAGAGGAAGGCGGAAUUCUCGGUGUAGAGGUGAAAUUCGUAGAUAUCGAGAGGAACACCGGUGGCGAAGGCGGCCUUCUGGACAGUGACUGACGCUGAGACGCGAAAGCGUGGGGAGCAAACAGG